AAUCAUUUCGUCGAGCCUGUUCAAGAACUCGGGGCGGAAGUAUUGCUUCAACUCUUCGGUGACCAGGCUCUUGAUCCUGUUGUAGCUGCUGUCCUUCUCGUCGUAGUCGAGAUCGAACCCGAUCCUACGGCCACCCUUUUCAAUCACCGAACUCCCGACGUUUGAGGUCAUGAUCAACAGCGUGUUCUUGAAGUCAACCGUACGGCCUUUACUGUCGGUCAACCUUCCGUCUUCUAAGAUUUGGAGCAUCAUGUUGAAAACGUCCGGGUGGGCCUUUU
This 278-nucleotide long non-coding RNA is filed under the name Erythranthe guttata (spotted monkey flower). RNAcentral describes it as "long non-coding RNA (EGUT_LNC002973)". The record is from RNAcentral. Lineage: Eukaryota; Viridiplantae; Streptophyta; Magnoliopsida; Lamiales; Phrymaceae.